Molecule: transfer RNA, 61 nt
Filed under: Triatoma rubrofasciata (large kissing bug)
Lineage: Eukaryota; Metazoa; Arthropoda; Insecta; Hemiptera; Reduviidae
Description: tRNA-Glu
Rfam family: tRNA
About the family: Transfer RNA (tRNA) molecules are approximately 80 nucleotides in length. Their secondary structure includes four short double-helical elements and three loops (D, anti-codon, and T loops).
Source: RNAcentral
AUUCAUGUAGUUUAAUAAAACAUUCCAUUUUCAAUGGAAAAAUGGAAGUAUCCCAUGAAUU